Molecule: ribosomal RNA, 563 nt
Filed under: Chaetasbolisia sp.
Lineage: Eukaryota; Fungi; Ascomycota; Dothideomycetes; Pleosporales; Didymellaceae
Description: partial large subunit ribosomal RNA
Rfam family: Eukaryotic large subunit ribosomal RNA
Source: RNAcentral
UGCCCUAGUAACGGCGAGUGAAGCGGCAAGAGCUCAGAUUUGAAAUCUGGCGCCUUCGGCGUCCGAGUUGUAAUCUGUAGAGGAUGCUAUUGGGUAGCCACCGGUCUAAGUCCCCUGGAACGGGGCGUCGCAGAGGGUGAGAAUCCCGUAUGUGACCGGAAGGGCGCCCUCCACAUAGCUCCUUCGACGAGUCGAGUUGUUUGGGAAUGCAGCUCUAAAUGGGAGGUAAAUUCCUUCUAAAGCUAAAUACCGGCCAGAGACCGAUAGCGCACAAGUAGAGUGAUCGAAAGAUGAAAAGCACUUUGGAAAGAGAGUUAAAAAGCACGUGAAAUUGUUGAAAGGGAAGCGCUUGCAACCAGACUUGUUGGCGGUGUUCCGCCGGUCUUCUGACCGGUGUACUCACCGUCUGCAGGCCAGCAUCAUCUGGGGCCGCCGGAUAAAAGCGGGGGGAAUGUGGCUCCCUCGGGAGUGUUAUAGCCCCUCGUGCAAUACGGCGUGCCUCGGGUGAGGUCCGCGCUUCGGCUAGGAUGCUGGCGUAAUGGUCGUAAGCGGCCCGUCUUGAA